Long non-coding RNA from Cuculus canorus (common cuckoo), 1401 nucleotides. RefSeq lists it as uncharacterized. Lineage: Eukaryota; Metazoa; Chordata; Aves; Cuculiformes; Cuculidae. The record is from RefSeq and is a predicted model, not a curated record. The transcript has 3 exons.
CCACUCAGCUUGGCAUCAUCCGCAAACUUGCUGAGGGUGCACUCGAUCUCGCUGUCAAUAUCAUUGAUAAAGAUAUUAAACAGCACCGGUCCCAGUACAGACCCCUGAGGGACAUCACUUCUUGCAUUGAGAACGUAAAAGAAUGGAAGCUUGCUGAAGAUGGAGGGUAAAAUAAAGUCUGGAAAAAGUUGCUUUCUCCUGUGUCAGAGGGUUUAUAACACCAUAAUUUAUAGUAUAGAUUAGGAUUACUGCUUUAAAGCUAAAGGUAAUUAAACUAUGCUUGCAUCUUUAGGCCCACAGGAAAAUGACUUAGUUUUCCAUAUACUUCCAGAGACAAUGAGCUGCUGAUUUAUUAUUCUACUCAAGUUAUAGAGGAGCUGAACAAAAUGUAAAACUAAAGACCUAUCUUUGCUCUCAGCUGUUCUGGUAUAAUUCCAGCUCAGCUUGUCUGGUGCUGGUGAAUUUAUUCCAGUUUUAUACUACUGUGACCUAACCAGAAUUUAUUCUACAGCCUGAAUCAAAUUGGACUGUUUUCUACUAUUUUCGGAUGAUGAGGAUUCUGUUAGUUGGUCUGUAGUCUGUCUCACCCUCCCCCUUUCCUACUAGUUUUUUAAAAAUGUGUUUUUAAAAGAACAAUGAAAACUCUCUACCUGAAAAACUGUGUUACACACAAAGUCUAGCAAACUCUUGUUUUCUAAAGAGAAGUCCCCUGCAUACCAUGAAAACAUGCAGUCUGAGGAACACCACUCUUUAGCAGUGCUAGACUCCUUUUACUUAGUUAUUUAAUUUUUUCUUACUUAGUUAUUUAGUUAGUUAUUUAGUUAUUUAUUUUUAAACUUGCCUUGUAAUUAACUUAGUGUCUGCUUUUCUUUGUUUUAACUGUACAGGUACAUAUAGGCAAAAUAGUGAGACUUGCUCAGAAACACUUGGAAUCAGCUUUUGUAGAAGAGCCCUUUAAACUUGGGAAGAAUCCUGUGGAGAAUUUGGUCAUGUUUAGAAACGAUCCAAAGUAGCUAUGACAACUUAAUGUACCAGGGCCAAGAUCCUGUGCACAUACCAAAUCUCUGACACUAUCCAAGAUCCUUAUCCAAUAUGAGGAGGAAACUAUAAAAUUAGAAUUGCCUAAAACAACCCCUAGAGAGUAUUGCUGAUUCUUGAGAAGAUUUUUUCUUUAAAUCUUACAGACGGAUUAUUCUAAAAGGUCUAAAAUAGGAAACUUGUAAAAGAAAAGAAAAGAGUGCAUUGAAUAAGGUGUCCAUGAACCCUGCUCCCCCUAAUCCGGAUCAUCUGGGAUUAAUUCUAAAUGCAUCUGAGGAAGGAAUGCUCAGGGUGGCUGAUCACCAGCAGAGAUGCGACAGGGUUCUGUGAGACAGGUUUUGUUGAAGAAACGAGAGACCCGGG